Molecule: ribosomal RNA, 1372 nt
Filed under: uncultured bacterium
Lineage: Bacteria
Description: bacterial SSU rRNA
Rfam family: Bacterial small subunit ribosomal RNA
Source: RNAcentral
GAUGAACGCUGGCGGCGUGCCUAAUACAUGCAAGUCGAGCGAACGGACGAGAAGCUUGCUUCUCUGAUGUUAGCGGCGGACGGGUGAGUAACACGUGGAUAACCUACCUAUAAGACUGGGAUAACUUCGGGAAACCGGAGCUAAUACCGGAUAAUAUUUUGAACCGCAUGGUUCAAAAGUGAAAGACGGUCUUGCUGUCACUUAUAGAUGGAUCCGCGCUGCAUUAGCUAGUUGGUAAGGUAACGGCUUACCAAGGCAACGAUGCAUAGCCGACCUGAGAGGGUGAUCGGCCACACUGGAACUGAGACACGGUCCAGACUCCUACGGGAGGCAGCAGUAGGGAAUCUUCCGCAAUGGACGAAAGCCUGACGGAGCAACGCCGCGUGAGUGAUGAAGGUCUUCGGAUCGUAAAACUCUGUUAUUAGGGAAGAACAUAUGUGUAAGUAACUGUGCACAUCUUGACGGUACCUAAUCAGAAAGCCACGGCUAACUACGUGCCAGCAGCCGCGGUAAUACGUAGGUGGCAAGCGUUAUCCGGAAUUAUUGGGCGUAAAGCGCGCGUAGGCGGUUUUUUAAGUCUGAUGUGAAAGCCCACGGCUCAACCGUGGAGGGUCAUUGGAAACUGGAAAACUUGAGUGCAGAAGAGGAAAGUGGAAUUCCAUGUGUAGCGGUGAAAUGCGCAGAGAUAUGGAGGAACACCAGUGGCGAAGGCGACUUUCUGGUCUGUAACUGACGCUGAUGUGCGAAAGCGUGGGGAUCAAACAGGAUUAGAUACCCUGGUAGUCCACGCCGUAAACGAUGAGUGCUAAGUGUUAGGGGGUUUCCGCCCCUUAGUGCUGCAGCUAACGCAUUAAGCACUCCGCCUGGGGAGUACGACCGCAAGGUUGAAACUCAAGGGAAUUGACGGGGACCCGCACAAGCGGUGGAGCAUGUGGUUUAAUUCGAAGCAACGCGAAGAACCUUACCAAAUCUUGACAUCCUUUGACAACUCUAGAGAUAGAGCCUUCCCCUUCGGGGGACAAAGUGACAGGUGGUGCAUGGUUGUCGUCAGCUCGUGUCGUGAGAUGUUGGGUUAAGUCCCGCAACGAGCGCAACCCUUAAGCUUAGUUGCCAUCAUUAAGUUGGGCACUCUAAGUUGACUGCCGGUGACAAACCGGAGGAAGGUGGGGAUGACGUCAAAUCAUCAUGCCCCUUAUGAUUUGGGCUACACACGUGCUACAAUGGACAAUACAAAGGGCAGCGAAACCGCGAGGUCAAGCAAAUCCCAUAAAGUUGUUCUCAGUUCGGAUUGUAGUCUGCAACUCGACUACAUGAAGCUGGAAUCGCUAGUAAUCGUAGAUCAGCAUGCUACGGUGAAUACGUUCCCGGGUCU